GACGAACGCUGGCGGCGUGCCUAAUACAUGCAAGUAGAACGCUGAGGUUUGGUGUUUACACUAGACUGAUGAGUUGCGAACGGGUGAGUAACGCGUAGGUAACCUGCCUCAUAGCGGGGGAUAACUAUUGGAAACGAUAGCUAAUACCGCAUAAGAGUAAUUAACACAUGUUAGUUAUUUAAAAGGAGCAAUUGCUUCACUGUGAGAUGGACCUGCGUUGUAUUAGCUAGUUGGUGAGGUAAAGGCUCACCAAGGCGACGAUACAUAGCCGACCUGAGAGGGUGAUCGGCCACACUGGGACUGAGACACGGCCCAGACUCCUACGGGAGGCAGCAGUAGGGAAUCUUCGGCAAUGGACGGAAGUCUGACCGAGCAACGCCGCGUGAGUGAAGAAGGUUUUCGGAUCGUAAAGCUCUGUUGUUAGAGAAGAACGUUGGUAGGAGUGGAAAAUCUACCAAGUGACGGUAACUAACCAGAAAGGGACGGCUAACUACGUGCCAGCAGCCGCGGUAAUACGUAGGUCCCGAGCGUUGUCCGGAUUUAUUGGGCGUAAAGCGAGCGCAGGCGGUUCUUUAAGUCUGAAGUUAAAGGCAGUGGCUUAACCAUUGUACGCUUUGGAAACUGGAGGACUUGAGUGCAGAAGGGGAGAGUGGAACUCCAUGUGUAGCGGUGAAAUGCGUAGAUAUAUGGAGGAACACCGGUGGCGAAAGCGGCUCUCUGGUCUGUAACUGACGCUGAGGCUCGAAAGCGUGGGGAGCAAACAGG
RNAcentral lists this ribosomal RNA (765 nucleotides) under uncultured Streptococcus sp. RNAcentral describes it as "bacterial SSU rRNA". It matches the Rfam family "Bacterial small subunit ribosomal RNA", at positions 28 to 776 of the family's 1533-position model. Lineage: Bacteria; Bacillati; Bacillota; Bacilli; Lactobacillales; Streptococcaceae. The record is from RNAcentral.